UUCGGCACAAGUUAGUUCAAUAACAACAGCAUAUUAUUGAUACAACUUGCAGUCAGAAGUCAUCGACAGAUGGAAGUGUGUGAAUACUGAAUUGUAUAAGGAUAGCAACAUAAAAGUCUAUCAUUAAGAUGGUUCUAGUUAACAUUCUUCGAUCAAGGUUUCAAACACUGCUAUCAUUCAUAAGUAUUUCAAACACUGCUGUCCAGGACCAACGAUUUGCAAAACGAAUUAAUUUGUAGUCAUUGUCCUGUGCUUCUAGGUCCACAAGACCCCUUAACAAUCUUGGGCUGUUAGACUAGUUCCAGCAUUCUGUGAAUAAAGCUAGGGGUAAGAAAGACCGUGUUUGGAUCCUUCACCAGGAAUCAGCUUUGCCUUGCCGGGUGAGAAUCAACAGAAGAGAUAAGUGUUUGGUGGACAAGCUAGCUGCCUAGGGGCUUGUGCAGGCAAGGAAAAUCCUUGCUACAACCAGGUCCAGCUCGCUCAGCCAGGCAAGGUUAUUGGGCCUUGUACUAGUGAGGCUAGGCGCCUCAGAAUCCAAACGUGUCCUUUAUCUACUGCAUUAUUUCGCAACAAGAAUUUAUUUCACAUGCAAUACCAAAUGUUGACCCAUGUAGCUUCAUACUCUCAGUACAUAGGAGGUGAAUUAUAAUGGCCAUGAAAGAGCUAAUCACAUUCAUCAUGCAAGAUAAACUUGCAACUAUAUGACAAGACAGCUUGCUGAACUGGAAGCUAUAAUGUAAAUACAAGCAGCUAGACAGUUUUCUAACUCUGAGCCAUUACGAGAAUCGAUUUUAACAUGUUUCUGAUAAUAUAAAAUCUGGAUGCAGUAAGUUAGUGAGUACCACUACACAUGCAUAUUUAAACCAGAAAAAUCUGC
This 877-nucleotide long non-coding RNA is filed under the name Sorghum bicolor (sorghum). RNAcentral describes it as "long non-coding RNA (SBIC_LNC001968)". The record is from RNAcentral. Lineage: Eukaryota; Viridiplantae; Streptophyta; Magnoliopsida; Poales; Poaceae.